RNAcentral lists this ribosomal RNA (209 nucleotides) under uncultured bacterium. RNAcentral describes it as "partial 16S ribosomal RNA". It matches the Rfam family "Bacterial small subunit ribosomal RNA", at positions 1292 to 1500 of the family's 1533-position model. The record is from RNAcentral.
UUCGGAUUGUAGUCUGCAACCCGACUACACGAAGCCGGAAUCGCUAGUAAUCGCGAAUCAGAAUGUCGCGGUGAAUACGUUCCCGGGUCUUGUACACACCGCCCGUCACACCAUGGGAGUCGGAAAUGCCCGAAGUCAGUGACCUAACCGAAAGGAGGGAGCUGCCGAAGGUGGAGCCGGUAACUGGGGUGAAGUCGUAACAAGGUACC